Parasteatoda tepidariorum (common house spider) is the source of this 578-nucleotide non-coding RNA. The record is from RefSeq and is a predicted model, not a curated record. Lineage: Eukaryota; Metazoa; Arthropoda; Arachnida; Araneae; Theridiidae.
UACUAUAAAGGAGACAUUUUUUUUUUUCUAUCGACAACGUAAAAUUUAUUCACAUGGAAAUUCAGCUUUUUUGCCCUUUAGCCAAUCUCAUCCCUGUUAAUAGUAUGUCUUUUCUAAAUUAAAGACCAAUUGUGUAAAAAUUAAAACUAAUUGUAUUUUCUAUGUAAUGUGUAUAUUAAUAGACAUGCUUAAACUGCAUUUCUUUGUAUUGCUUCAGUGCUUUUUAUAUUAUCAUUGCCAAAGACAUUUAAUUUCCUCAGUGCUUAUAAAAAAUUUAUAAUUCGUUCAAAUUUGUAUGUUAGGUUCAAGUGAUACCUUGGUCAAUAAGUGAUAGCAAUUUUGUACUCAGUCCUUCUCAAAGACUAGAUCCUAGCAAAACCGUUUUUGUGGGGGCCCUUCAUGGCAUGCUAAAUGCUGAAGGUUUAGCACUUAUCAUGAAUGAUUUGUUCGGAGGUGUUGUCUAUGCUGGAAUAGAUACAGACAAGCACAAAUAUCCCAUUGGUUCUGGAAGAGUGACAUUCAACAACCAUAAGAGCUAUAUGAAAGCAGUUACUGCAGCUUUCAUUGAUAUCAAAACU